GACGAACGCUGGCGGCGUGCUUAACACAUGCAAGUCGAACGGAAAGGCCCAGCUUGCUGGGUACUCGAGUGGCGAACGGGUGAGUAACACGUGGGUGAUCUGCCUUGCACUCUGGGAUAAGCUUGGGAAACUGGGUCUAAUACUGGAUAUGACCGCUGAUCGCAUGGUUGGUGGUGGAAAGCUUUUGCGGUGUGAGAUGGGCCCGCGGCCUAUCAGCUUGUUGGUGGGGUAAUGGCCUACCAAGGCGACGACGGGUAGCCGAACUGAGAGGGUGAUCGGCCACACGGGGACUGAGACACGGCCCAGACUCCUACGGGAGGCAGCGGUGGGGAGUAUUGCACAAUGGGCGCAAGCCUGAUGCAGCGACGCCGCGUGAGGGAUGACGGCCUUCGGGUUGUAAACCUCUUUCGCCAGGGACGAAGCUUUUGUGACGGUACCUGGAGAAGAAGCACCGGCCAACUACGUGCCAGCCGCCGCCGUAA
This 482-nucleotide ribosomal RNA is filed under the name uncultured bacterium. Its description in RNAcentral is "partial 16S ribosomal RNA". It matches the Rfam family "Bacterial small subunit ribosomal RNA", at positions 28 to 523 of the family's 1533-position model. The record is from RNAcentral.